This 461-nucleotide ribosomal RNA is filed under the name Acanthamoeba sp. Its description in RNAcentral is "SSU rRNA". It matches the Rfam family "Eukaryotic small subunit ribosomal RNA", at positions 740 to 1095 of the family's 1831-position model. Lineage: Eukaryota; Discosea; Longamoebia; Acanthamoebidae. The record is from RNAcentral. RNAcentral also lists the same sequence under 1 other name.
GGCCCAGAUCGUUUACCGUGAAAAAAUUAGAGUGUUCAAAGCAGGCAGAUCCAAUUUUCUGCCACCGAAUACAUUAGCAUGGGAUAAUGGAAUAGGACCCUGUCCUCCUAUUUUCAGUUGGUUUUGGCAGCGCGAGGACUAGGGUAAUGAUUAAUAGGGAUAGUUGGGGGCAUUAAUAUUUAAUUGUCAGAGGUGAAAUUCUUGGAUUUAUGAAAGAUUAACUUCUGCGAAAGCAUCUGCCAAGGAUGUUUUCAUUAAUCAAGAACGAAAGUUAGGGGAUCGAAGACGAUCAGAUACCGUCGUAGUCUUAACCAUAAACGAUGCCGACCAGCGAUUAGGAGACGUUGAAUACAAAACACCACCAUCGGUGCGGUCGUCCUUGGCGUCGGUCUUUCGGGGCCGGCGCGGGGGCGGCUUAGCCCGGUGGCACCGGUGAAUGACUCCCCUAGCAGCUUGUGAGA